This 432-nucleotide ribosomal RNA is filed under the name uncultured bacterium. RNAcentral describes it as "partial 16S ribosomal RNA". It matches the Rfam family "Bacterial small subunit ribosomal RNA", at positions 29 to 507 of the family's 1533-position model. The record is from RNAcentral.
ACGAACGCUGGCGGCAUGCCUAACACCUGCCAGUCGCACGAGACCUUCGGGUCUAGUGGCGCACGGGUGCGUAACGCGUGGGAACCUGCCCUUAGGUUCGGAAUAACUCCCCGAAAGGGGUGCUAAUACCGGAUAAUGUCUUCGGACCAAAGAUUUAUCGCCUUUGGAUGGGCCCGCGUUGGAUUAGCUAGUUGGUAGGGUAAAAGCCUACCAAGGCGACGAUCCAUAGCUGGUCUGAGAGGAUGAUCAGCCACACUGGGACUGAGACACGGCCCAGACUCCUACGGGAGGCAGCAGUGGGGAAUAUUGGACAAUGGGCGAAAGCCUGAUCCAGCAAUGCCGCGUGAGUGAUGAAGGCCUUAGGGUUGUAAAGCUCUUUUACCCGGGAUGAUAAUGACAGUACCGGGAGAAUAAGCUCCGGCUAACUCCGUG